AUACGGAGGAUGCAAGCGUUAUCCGGAUUUAUUGGGUUUAAAGGGUGCGUAGGCGGAUGAUUAAGCGUGAGGUGAAAUGCCACUGCUCAACAGUGGAACUGCCUCGCGAACUGGUUGUCUUGAAUGCUCCUGCCGUGGGAGGAAUGUGUGGUGUAGCGGUGAAAUGCAUAGAGAUCACACAGAACACCGAUUGCGAAGGCAUCUCACGAAGGGGUGAUUGACGCUGAUGCACGAAAGCGGGGGGAUCAAACAGGAUUAGAUGCCCUGGUAGUCCACGCAGUAAACGAUGAUAACUAACCGCUGGGUCGUAGUGAUUCAGUGGCCAAGCGAAAGCGAUAAGUUAUCCACCUGGGGAGUACGACCGCAAGGUUGAAACUCAAAGGAAUUGACGGGG
Molecule: ribosomal RNA, 394 nt
Filed under: uncultured bacterium
Lineage: Bacteria
Description: partial 16S ribosomal RNA
Rfam family: Bacterial small subunit ribosomal RNA
Source: RNAcentral